GUGCUUGCUUCAGCAGCACAAUAUAUGAAAAUUGGAACAAUACAGAGAUUAGCAUGGCCUCUACACAAAGAUGACACACAAAUUCAUAAAGUAUUCCAUAUUUUU
Molecule: small nuclear RNA, 105 nt
Organism: Mastomys coucha (southern multimammate mouse)
Lineage: Eukaryota; Metazoa; Chordata; Mammalia; Rodentia; Muridae
Source: RefSeq, a predicted model, not a curated record